This is a long non-coding RNA of Sinocyclocheilus rhinocerous, 320 nucleotides long. RefSeq lists it as uncharacterized. The record is from RefSeq and is a predicted model, not a curated record. NCBI's taxonomy places the organism in Eukaryota, Metazoa, Chordata, Actinopteri, Cypriniformes, Cyprinidae. The transcript has 3 exons.
AUUAAAUCGCCAAUCAGUGUGUGUUUGGACUUUUCUGAGCUUCUUCAACCUUGGUGUGUAAUGUAAAAAUGAAAAGUGUUGGUUGGAUGUUAGAUACAUAUCUAGAGCGGGGACAUUUAAUUAUGAGCCACAUUUUUGAACCGGAAGUACUCAGUUGUACUGUCUGUGUUCCUCAAGAAACUUGUUUGUUGUUUUAAUUCGCGGAGUAAUACAGCACCUGUGAAACAAUGGAUGUUGAAGACAGGACUUACGGUGGUUGUGAAGGCCCUGAUGCCAUGUAUGUAAAGCUGAUCUCUUCAGAUGGCCAUGAGUUUAUUGUG